RNAcentral lists this ribosomal RNA (150 nucleotides) under uncultured eukaryote. Its description in RNAcentral is "partial small subunit ribosomal RNA". It matches the Rfam family "Eukaryotic small subunit ribosomal RNA", at positions 1651 to 1800 of the family's 1831-position model. The record is from RNAcentral.
CCCUGCCAUUUGUACACACCGCCCGUCGCUACUACCGAUUGAAUGGCUUAGUGAGACCUCUGGAUUUCAUUGAUGAACUGGCAACAGUGAUUCUUUGAGAGAAACUGGUCAAACUUGGUCAUUUAGAGGAAGUAAAAGUCGUAACAAGGU